CCACCGGGGGCAUCCAGCACUGCUAACGAUCCCUCCUUGCUUCUCCAGUAUCUCCGAACACACUUUCCUCUCCGUAGGAUGCUGCUGCAUUUUGGGCAGCUUCUGAAAGACGAAGAUGAAGAUUACAUGAUUCCUAGGAGGAGAAGGAGGCCCCGGGUAUUGCUCUGUUUAUCUUCUUUCUCUGUUGUAUCAUCUUUCUCUUUCUGUCUUUGUUUCUUUCCUUCUUUCCUUUUCUUCCUUCCAUUCCUUUUCCUUUCUUCCUUCCUUCCUUCCUUCCUUCUCUCCUUCCCUCCUUCCCCUUUCUCUUUUUUCCCUCUCACCUGCCCUUCCUACCCUUUGAAAACAUUAAAUGUCUCUAUAUCUUUGGCACCAUGAACUUCUCUCAGCAUAUAUUCCAGGUGCUUCAUGAAAACAAAACGACUUGUUCUUUUUAUACUAGAUGCAGUAGUUCAGGGUUUCCGAAGGAUUUUUUGUGAGCUUGUUCAUUUUUUCCCCUUGGUUAAAAAUAAAAACCCUUAU
RNAcentral lists this long non-coding RNA (519 nucleotides) under Piliocolobus tephrosceles (Ugandan red Colobus). Its description in RNAcentral is "lncRNA (ENSPTEG00000034806.1)". The record is from RNAcentral. Lineage: Eukaryota; Metazoa; Chordata; Mammalia; Primates; Cercopithecidae.